RNAcentral lists this ribosomal RNA (458 nucleotides) under uncultured bacterium. RNAcentral describes it as "partial 16S ribosomal RNA". It matches the Rfam family "Bacterial small subunit ribosomal RNA", at positions 28 to 522 of the family's 1533-position model. The record is from RNAcentral.
GAUGAAUGCUGGCGGCGUGCUUAACACAUGCAAGUCGAGCGGUAAGGCCCUUCGGGGUACACGAGCGGCGGACGGCUGAGUAACGCGUGGGAACAUGCCCUAAAGUGAGGAAUAACCGCCCGAAAGGGUGGCUAAUGCCGCAUAUGAUCUUCGGAUUAAAGGAUUUAUCCGCUUUAGGAGUGGCCUGCGUACGAUUAGACUAUUGGUGAGGUGAUGGCUUACCAAGGCGACGAUCGUUAGCUGGUCUGAGAGGAUGACCAGCCAGACUGGAACUGAGACACAGUCCAGACUCCUACGGGAGGCAGCAGUGAGGAAUCUUCCACAAUGGGCGAAAGCCUGAUGGAGCAACGCCGCUUGCAGGAUGAAGGCCCUCGGGUCGUAAACUGCUUUUAUGAGUGAAGAAUAUGACGGUAACUCAUGAAUAAGCACCGGCUAACUACGUGCCAGCCGCCGCGGUA